UUUGUGCAAUAAGAUUUAUGUAUCGAUAAAUUUUAGUUAUUUCUUCUUAUAAUUUAUUUGUAAACUAUUAUUCAUCGCAAUUAGAAAUGACAUCACCACCAUCCCGCCCUUCGUCGGCCUUAUUGUAAGGUUUCUUACGCUUAUUUGCCAAUUGAUUUCACUCAUCUUGAUUACCACCAACACUGAUACUAUUUCUACCAAUAUUGGGGAUGUCAAAAACUCAAAAUCACGUUUAAGGAUGUUUUUGCUUACAGUUAAUGUCCUACUUCCUUGCUACCGGAGCAGCUAAAACUUGUGGGACGACACAACAAUUGAAGCAACUUAAAAAUGACGAACUGAAUAAAUUUCUAAGCAUAGCAGAUGCUGCGGCCAGCCUUUGUCUUUUUGGAUUCUUUUUCACUGCUGUUUCCUCAGUUUUCUCAUCGUACGCUCUUCCCCAGAGAGCUUGAUUUUAAAAGUAUCUUAUUUCGAUCCAACGAUCUGAGAGAUUACUGCAAAGAUUAUAUGAAGUUGCCUUAUGUUAUAUUCUUAAUUUUGCCACAUUUGGUCGUCAUAUAGUGUUGAAUUGCAAUUAAUUUGUAUUUAAUUUUGUAGGUAAUUGUUUAAGUACGUUGGUGAAAUUUUGGAAAUCUUAAGGUGAUUGUGUAUUUUUUUUUCUAGGAUAA
This is a non-coding RNA of Nicotiana tabacum (common tobacco), 665 nucleotides long. The record is from RefSeq and is a predicted model, not a curated record. Lineage: Eukaryota; Viridiplantae; Streptophyta; Magnoliopsida; Solanales; Solanaceae.